RNAcentral lists this ribosomal RNA (239 nucleotides) under uncultured bacterium. Its description in RNAcentral is "partial 16S ribosomal RNA". It matches the Rfam family "Bacterial small subunit ribosomal RNA", at positions 15 to 258 of the family's 1533-position model. The record is from RNAcentral.
GCUCAUGGCUCAGAUUGAACGCUGGCGGCAUGCCUUACACAUGCAAGUCUAACGGUAACAGGUCUUCGGAUGCUGACGAGUGGCGAACGGGUGAGUAAUACAUCGGAACGUGCCCGAUCGUGGGGGAUAACGAAGCGAAAGCUUUGCUAAUACCGCAUACGAUCUACGGAUGAAAGCAGGGGACCGCAAGGCCUUGCGCGAACGGAGCGGCCGAUGGCAGAUUAGGUAGUUGGUGGGAA